This is a small nucleolar RNA of Cephalotus follicularis, 107 nucleotides long. It matches the Rfam family "Plant small nucleolar RNA R71". Rfam says of the family: R71 is a member of the C/D box family of snoRNAs containing the C (UGAUGA) and D (CUGA) box motifs. The record is from Rfam. NCBI's taxonomy places the organism in Eukaryota, Viridiplantae, Streptophyta, Magnoliopsida, Oxalidales, Cephalotaceae.
AGACCAUGAUGAGGACACUUUAAAAGGAGGUCUUUAAAACGUUCCAUACAUCGAGAGAAUGAUUCAUUGGGUCUCUGGCGAAACUGGAGAAUCUCGUUCCUAAGCUU